GACGAACGCUGGCGGCGUGCUUAACACAUGCAAGUCGAACGGAAAGGCCCUGCUUUUGUGGGGUGCUCGAGUGGCGAACGGGUGAGUAACACGUGAGUAACCUGCCCUUGACUUUGGGAUAACUUCAGGAAACUGGGGCUAAUACCGGAUAGGAGCUCCUGCUGCAUGGUGGGGGUUGGAAAGUUUCGGCGGUUGGGGAUGGACUCGCGGCUUAUGAGCUUGUUGGUGGGGUAGUGGCUGACCAAGGCUUUGACGGGUAGCCGGCCUGAGAGGGUGACCGGCCACAUUGGGACUGAGAUACGGCCCAGACUCCUACGGUAGGCAGCAGUGGGGAAUAUUGCACAAUGGGCGGAAGCCUGAUGCAGCAACGCCGCGUGCGGGAUGACGGCCUUCGGGUUGUAAACCGCUUUCGCCUGUGACGAAGCGUGAGUGACGGUAAUGGGUAAAGAAGCACCGGCUAACUACGUG
RNAcentral lists this ribosomal RNA (468 nucleotides) under uncultured bacterium. RNAcentral's name for it is "partial 16S ribosomal RNA". It matches the Rfam family "Bacterial small subunit ribosomal RNA", at positions 28 to 507 of the family's 1533-position model. The record is from RNAcentral.